This 341-nucleotide unclassified non-coding RNA is filed under the name Capnodiales sp. Its description in RNAcentral is "partial contains 5.8S ribosomal RNA, internal transcribed spacer 2, and large subunit ribosomal RNA". The record is from RNAcentral. Lineage: Eukaryota; Fungi; Ascomycota; Dothideomycetes; Capnodiales.
CGCACAUUGCGCCCCCUGGCAUUCCGGAGGGCAUGCCCGUUCGAGCGUCAUUAAAUCCAAUCAAGCCUGGCUUGGUAUUGGGCGUCGGGAGGACCCCGCGCCCCAAUUUCACCGGCUGGCCGUCGCCUGUUCUAGUGUUGCGGACGGGAAACUUCGCUAGAAUUGAGGAGCGGUUAUGCUGUCAUGAUCUCACCACCAACUGGCUCGCCGCCUGCUUGGCGUUGUUCUCUCGGGGAAAACGUCAAGACCAGGGCGGGUCACGCCGUGAGAUCGCAACGAAUUUCCAUUGAAAUUUGACCAAGAUUGACCUCGGAUCGGGUAGGAAUACCCGCUGAACUUAA